GCCGAGGUAGUUUAGCCUGGUUAGAGCACCACGCUCAUACCGUGGUUGUCGGGAGUUCAAAACGACAGUAUCGUUUGUCGGGCCCUAGAAGAUUUCCUUCGGGCGCAGGAAUUGCUACGCAAUUCGAACACGUCGAUGCUUUCCGUGAAAGUCUCCCCCUCGGCA
RNAcentral lists this transfer RNA (165 nucleotides) under Nanobdellota archaeon. RNAcentral describes it as "tRNA-Met". The record is from RNAcentral. Lineage: Archaea; Nanobdellati; Nanobdellota.